GACGAACGCUGGCGGCGUGCCUAAUACAUGCAAGUCGAGCGGACGGACGGGAGCUUGCUCCCAGACCGUCAGCGGCGGCCGGGUGAGUAACACGUGGGCACCUUGCCUGUACGUCUGGGUUAACUCCGGGAACCGGGGGCUAAAACCGGAUAACUCUUCUCCUCCCAUGAGGGAAAGCUGAAAGAUGGCCUCUCGCUAUUACUCACAGAUGUGCUCGCGGCGCAUGAGCUAGUUGGGGUGGUAACGGCUCACCAAGGCGGCGAUGCGUAGCCGACGGGAGGGGGUGGUCGGCGGCACGAGGACUUGGACACGGCCCAGGCGCCUACGGUAGGCAGCAGUAGGGUAUCUGCCGCAGUAGACGAGAGUCUUGCGGAACGACGCCGCGUGAGUGAUGGAGGUGUUCGGAGCGUAAAACUCUGUUGUGAGUGAAGAACAAGUACCGGAUGAACUGCCGGUAGCGUGACGGUACCGGGUCAGAAAGCCACGGCUAACUACGUG
This 498-nucleotide ribosomal RNA is filed under the name uncultured bacterium. RNAcentral describes it as "partial 16S ribosomal RNA". It matches the Rfam family "Bacterial small subunit ribosomal RNA", at positions 28 to 507 of the family's 1533-position model. The record is from RNAcentral.